Molecule: transfer RNA, 69 nt
Filed under: Ictidomys tridecemlineatus (thirteen-lined ground squirrel)
Lineage: Eukaryota; Metazoa; Chordata; Mammalia; Rodentia; Sciuridae
Description: Spermophilus tridecemlineatus (thirteen-lined ground squirrel) tRNA
Rfam family: tRNA
About the family: Transfer RNA (tRNA) molecules are approximately 80 nucleotides in length. Their secondary structure includes four short double-helical elements and three loops (D, anti-codon, and T loops).
Source: Rfam by way of RNAcentral
GGGGCUGCAGCUGAGUGGUAAAGCACCUGCCUAGCAUGUAUGAGGCACUGGGUUUGAUUCUCAGCUCCA